AGCAGCCGCGGUAAUUCCAGCUCCAAUAGCGUAUAUUAAAGUUGUUGCAGUUAAAAAGCUCGUAGUUGAAUUUCGGGAUCAAUAUGUUGGUCGUGCCUCGGUACGUACUAGCUUAUUGGUUUCUCCUUUCUGAAGAACCAUGAUGUCAUUUAUUUGGUGUCGUGGGGAAUCAGGACUGUUACUUUGAAAAAAUUAGAGUGUUUAAAGCAGGCUCACGCUUGAAUACAUUAGCAUGGAAUAAUGAAAUAGGACGUUUGAUUCUAUUUUGUUGGUUUCUAGGAUCGACGUAAUGAUUAAUAGGGAUAGUUGGGGGCAUUAGUAUUCAAUUGUCAGAGGUGAAAUUCUUGGAUUUAUUGAAGACUAACUACUGCGAAAGCAUUUGCCAAGGAUGUUUUCAUUAAUCAAGAACGAAAGUUAGGGGAUCGAAGACGAUCAGAUACCGUCGUAGUCUUAACCAUAAACUAUGCCGACUAGGGAUCGGAUGAUG
This 487-nucleotide unclassified non-coding RNA is filed under the name uncultured Glomus. RNAcentral describes it as "SSU rRNA". It matches the Rfam family "Eukaryotic small subunit ribosomal RNA", at positions 569 to 1062 of the family's 1831-position model. The record is from RNAcentral. Lineage: Eukaryota; Fungi; Glomeromycota; Glomeromycetes; Glomerales; Glomeraceae.